UACGUAGGGGGCAAGCGUUGUCCGGAAUCAUUGGGCGUAAAGAGCGCGUAGGCGGUCCGAUAAGUCGGCUGUGAAAGUCAAGGGCUCAACCCUUGAAAGCCGGCCGAUACUGUCGGACUAGAGUCCGGAAGAGGCGAGUGGAAUUCCCGGUGUAGCGGUGAAAUGCGCAGAUAUCAGGAGGAACACCAAUUGCGAAGGCAGCUCGCUGGGACGUUACUGACGCUGAGACGCGAAAGCGUGGGGAGCAAACAGG
Molecule: ribosomal RNA, 253 nt
Filed under: uncultured bacterium
Lineage: Bacteria
Description: partial 16S ribosomal RNA
Rfam family: Bacterial small subunit ribosomal RNA
Source: RNAcentral